AGAGUUUGAUCCUGGCUCAGAUUGAACGCUGGCGGCAUGCCUUACACAUGCAAGUCGAACGGCAGCAUGGAAGAGCUUGCCCUUCUGAUGGCGAGUGGCGAACGGGUGAGUAAAGCAUCGGAACGUACCGUGUAGUGGGGGAUAACGUAGCGAAAGUUACGCUAAUACCGCAUACGCACUGAGGUGGAAAGCAGGGGAUCGCAAGACCUUGCGCUAUACGAGCGGCCGAUGUCAGAUUAGCUAGUUGGUAGGGUAAAGGCCUACCAAGGCGACGAUCUGUAGCGGGUCUGAGAGGAUGAUCCGCCACACUGGGACUGAGACACGGCCCAGACUCCUACGGGAGGCAGCAGUGGGGAAUUUUGGACAAUGGGCGAAAGCCUGAUCCAGCCAUGCCGCGUGAGUGAAGAAGGCCUUCGGG
This 418-nucleotide ribosomal RNA is filed under the name uncultured bacterium. Its description in RNAcentral is "bacterial SSU rRNA". It matches the Rfam family "Bacterial small subunit ribosomal RNA", at positions 8 to 422 of the family's 1533-position model. The record is from RNAcentral.